Molecule: ribosomal RNA, 473 nt
Filed under: uncultured bacterium
Lineage: Bacteria
Description: SSU rRNA
Rfam family: Bacterial small subunit ribosomal RNA
Source: RNAcentral
AGGACGAACGCUGGCGGCGUGCUUAACACAUGCAAGUCGAGCGGAAAGGCCCUUCGGGGUACUCGAGCGGCGAACGGGUGAGUAACACGUGAGCAAUCUGCCCUUAGCUUCGGGAUAGCCCCGGGAAACCGGGAUUAAUACCGAAUACGACCUCGGCCGACAUCGGCCUUGGUGGAAAGUUUUUCGGCUAGGGAUGAACUCGCGGCCUAUCAGCUUGUUGGUGGGGUAAUAGCCUACCAAGGCGACGACGGGUAGCCGGCCUGAGAGGGCGACCGGCCACACUGGGACUGAGACACGGCCCAGACUCCUACGGGAGGCAGCAGUGGGGAAUAUUGCGCAAUGGGCGAAAGCCUGACGCAGCGACGCCGCGUGGGGGAUGAAGGCCUUCGGGUUGUAAACCCUUUCAGCAGGGACGAAGCGAGAGUGACGGUACCUGCAGAAGAAGCGCCGGCUAACUACGCGCCAGCAGCCGC